RNAcentral lists this ribosomal RNA (356 nucleotides) under uncultured bacterium. RNAcentral describes it as "bacterial SSU rRNA". It matches the Rfam family "Bacterial small subunit ribosomal RNA", at positions 30 to 392 of the family's 1533-position model. The record is from RNAcentral.
AUUGAACGCUGGCGGAAUGCUUUACACAUGCAAGUCGAACGGUAGAGGGGGCAACCCCUCGAGAGUGGCGAACGGGUGAGUAAUAUAUCGGAACGUGCCCAGUCGUGGGGGAUAACGUAGCGAAAGUUACGCUAAUACCGCAUACGAUCUACGGAUGAAAGCGGGGGAUCGCAAGACCUCGCGCGAUUGGAGCGGCCGAUAUCAGAUUAGGUAGUUGGUGGGGUAAAAGGCUCACCAAGCCAACGAUCUGUAGCUGGUCUGAGAGGACGACCAGCCACACUGGAACUGAGACACGGUCCAGACUCCUACGGAGGCAGCAGUGGGAAUAUGCACAAUGGACGAAAGUCUGAUGCAGC